This 158-nucleotide unclassified non-coding RNA is filed under the name soil metagenome. RNAcentral's name for it is "partial internal transcribed spacer 1". The record is from RNAcentral.
CAGGACUCGCAAGACUCCUACAACCCUGUGAACCUACUAUACGAACGUUGCUUCGGCGGGUGCGCCCCGGGGAUUCGUUCCCGCGGCGCGUCAGCCCGCCGGCAGCCUACAAAUUCUGUUUCUUUGCGUUGGCAUCUCGAGAAAAAACAAAUAAGUUA